CGUUGUUGGAAACAGCACCAAAGUGUCCGCCGUGUGUGUGCGUGUGUGGGAGGCAAACGAAAAUGGACGACGCUUCCAGUGUACUGGGUGGGCGAUGGCGGGAGGAGCGUCACAUAGAAAAAGAGGGGGGAAAAAAUGGCCGAAAAAAUAAAAAUCAGGAGGAAUUGAACGGCGGGGUGCUCAAAUUCACGCACGACAAGCGCACCACCUUUUUAUUUCCAAGCACAGCGUGAACUUGGUUAUCGAACUUUUAUUUGCUGUAAUUUUUGUUUUCUCUUGGUUUUCAAGAACGCCGCAGUUCUCCACUCAUGAAGCCGCGUGAAUAACAAGACAACUCAAGUGACCUUGAAUAUUUUUCAAAAACUAUUCGUCAUCCUCUUUUUUUUUUGCAUUCUAGGACGACCUUGAACGAUUUAGAGAUGCAACUUGAAGUUUCGCGCCGAAAUGUUUUGUUCCUAGUUUCGCGCCAUGCGCUUCGCACAACAGCAGCGGUAGCAGAAAAUGAAGAUCGCGGCACGGAUGGGCUGAAGGGCCGCGUGUUCGCGCGACGACGACCAUCAACGACUGGCCAAGACCGCCAGGCGCCGCUGCUAGUCACAAGCAGGGUGGUUCGAGCGGACACGGACGAACAGAAACAGGCGUCUAUGUGUCAUCACAUAGCGGCGGCGUUGGCGAUGGAGUGUCGUGUGACUUGCAGACGCCUCCCCUCCUCCUUUUUUUUUCCUUUUUUCUUUUUCGGUCAUCCCAUCGUGUCGACCAAUAGGUUCCAUAGUUGCCACAUUUAGAGGCGGAGUCUGGGGCGGAGCCUUUUAUUUUCUCGGACCUUUGGUGCAGUCCCCUGAAUCUAGUCGACACUCUACCGAGAGAGGGCCAGACAGACGGACCGGAUGCGAGCUGGCUACUUGUAAGACCCCAAUCGUGGCGCUAAUUCACUCUCGCCUUCUUCGCAGCGAUUACUCCAUUCGUCCGAAAAAUAAUUGAUCUAUCGCACAUCAACGAAAAGAUCAUUUAUUACUGCUGUUGACUGAUGAUGUCCCUCCACCAUCUACGAAAAUACGGAGGGCCCGUUUGUGUGUGCGUUUCGAGUAGAAAGACGUCGGCAUUACACGAUUCGGACUCUAUGUGAAGAUGAACUGCUCAUCGUAGAGUGCCAGGCCUCGUUCCACACAAAAAACACUGGCAAUGUAUAAUCAUUCAACGUAUUGCGCUCACGCGUGCCAGGAUCCCCUCUCGUUGUAUGGAAUAAUAAUCACUUGACACUAUUGCCGUUUUUCCGAAAAGUAUUAGUCACACUUUUUCAAAAACGUUGUGUGUAUAUUUUAAAAAUCUAUUUUGCCUCGAGAUGUCUAGAGAUUUUCAGUAGAGACGUAAUCGAGCGGUCAAUUUGGGCCCUGCCCACGGGUUCGCGUAUUGAUCCAGUCUCCCCCGUCCAUCCAGCAGACGCAUACACACACCCAGACUGGAUAGAGUGGCAGGCCUUUAUUCUUGUCUAAAAGAGACAGACCAAUCUCUCUAAGAUAAACACACAGACGGACUGAUGUUUCAUUUUUCAUGUUGCUAUUUAUUUUCACGUCAAUCAUAAAUAUAGAUGGCGGUGAUACAUGAAGGCAGAGUUACAUCAUGUCCACGCACGAAAGGACUUGAAGACGAACGGCACAGUUAAUGUUGUUUCGUCACUGACACGAAUCGAUGAUGAGCCUACCGUACCCUCUUUUCUUUCUGUGCGUGCAUACACACCCACCCCACAAUAUGGAAUGAAUUCGCAAUCAAUGACCCUAAACAUCGCCGCCAGGCACAAUUCGAUUGGAAAGGUUCGAUCGAUACAGAUUAGCAGUUUCUUGUUUGAUCCACCCAUGCACGAAACGCGAAUAUGAUGUAAUCCAGCUCCACUGUUUAGACUAUUAGGUCGACUAAAACAAGGUCGUCGUAAUUCUAAUUAAUCAAAAUAGUACACACUUUGGCUUUACUCGGAUUUUUUUGGCCGCAGGCGGCACACGUGGCCUUCUAUAUCGCACACACACAAUAAAUACGAAAGUGGCUCAUCACGAGAAACGCCGGCCAUCGUUUUCCGGACAUUUGACGACAUUAACGACUGGGAGAAAACAUAAAAAAAAAAAAAAUAAAUACAUCAAUGUGUGUGUGUGUGUAGUAUUUUUAGGUUUGUUAGUGUUCCUUCUCAACCCCCCUCAUUUAAAAAAAAAAGCCCUCCUUCAACAUUGUCGCUAUAUACUUUGUAUAUGUGUGUGGGGCUGCACACAGUCAAACGAAAUAUUACGACGAUAGCUGUAAGGGCGGGGGGGACUGAGGGGGUAGGAGAAAGUCUUUUUUUCUUUUUCCCCAUUAGUUCAUACCGGAAACGGUGCUGCGCCGAUGGGUGCAUACAUACAUAGCUUUUGCAGCAUGCAGCUAUAGCAAGGCAUUAGCAUUUGAAUAGCGACACGAGUAUAUCAGACACACAGAACGACUGGCAUCAGCCGAUAGAGACACACAUACGCCAAGCAAAUGGCGUGAUGGCUUCUUUUUCUUUAUUUCGUAAGAGCCAUCAGCAAGACACAAAUAACCAUCAGAGCCGACACAUCCGACGGACACGAGAAGAGAACGAAAAAUUAGCAUCAAUAUAAUAUUAGAAUUUCCUAUGUGUGUGUGUGUGUGUGUGGCUCUUCCGUGUCUGUAUGACUUCCGUCCGGUAAUGCACAGGCGACGACGCAGCAGAAAGCCGACGCCUUUCAUCUCGGACCAUUUGGUGUAGAUAUUAUGCAACGUAUAUUUAUAUUCUUUCAAUAGAUUUCGGAAUUGUAUGGAACAUUAUCGUAUAGAGUAUUAGAUGGGCAGCAACGCUCUUCAUUUUUGUUUUGGUUUAACUCGUUCCCACACAGGGUAAACGAAAUCAAAGAUCAUUCGACAUGAAAAAGUCAUUUGGCCUCUUCCAUAACUUUGAGAUCCGAUCAGCGCCGGAUUAGACAGGCUCAUCAUCAUUUGAUUUCAUUAGUAUGACGACGAAAGUCCCCCCCAGUAAAGUUUUCGAGGUUUUCUUUUACCAGAAAAUGAUUUUCAGGGGGGAAAACUUCGUUACAUUUGAAAUGCCAAUCAUCACUCGUAUUGAACAGAUGGUCUCGACGCCGUUGCCAAGUUUCCACCUUUUGUUUUUCCCGUUCCACCAUCUUGUCUCUCCUUUUUUUGUUUGGUUUUUUAAAUUCUUGAUCGAAAAAGAAAAGAAAAAAAGAUGAACAUUUAUCGUCGAAGGGAGGAAAGGGUUGAUGUUGGGGGUCCUCUCACUCCCACAUUUCUUGAUAUCUAUCUAAUGUAAUAAAUCGAUACCUGUCUUUA
This is a long non-coding RNA of Daphnia magna, 3327 nucleotides long. RefSeq lists it as uncharacterized. Lineage: Eukaryota; Metazoa; Arthropoda; Branchiopoda; Diplostraca; Daphniidae. The transcript has 2 exons. The record is from RefSeq and is a predicted model, not a curated record.